This 253-nucleotide ribosomal RNA is filed under the name uncultured bacterium. RNAcentral describes it as "partial 16S ribosomal RNA". It matches the Rfam family "Bacterial small subunit ribosomal RNA", at positions 524 to 776 of the family's 1533-position model. The record is from RNAcentral.
UACGGAGGGGGCUAGCGUUAUUCGGAAUUACUGGGCGUAAAGCGCACGUAGGCGGAUUGGAAAGUCAGAGGUGAAAUCCCAGGGCUCAACCUUGGAACUGCCUUUGAAACUCCCAGUCUUGAGGUCGUGAGAGGUGAGUGGAAUUCCGAGUGUAGAGGUGAAAUUCGUAGAUAUUCGGAGGAACACCAGUGGCGAAGGCGGCUCACUGGCACGAUUCUGACGCUGAGGUGCGAAAGAGUGGGGAGCAAACAGG